AAAUUAAAAAAAAUAAAAAAUUUGCAAUGUAAAUUAAAUCUGAAUUCACAAUUUUUUUUAAAAUUAUUAAGUAUUUUCAUCUAAUUUUUUAAAUAUCAUUUUUAUGUUUUUUUUUAUAAUAAAAUAAUAGUUUAUUACUUAAAAAUCUAUGAAAACUGACUAAUCUGGUGUAGCCAACUCGUAAGCAGAUGAAGAGUUCCAAUAAUCAGUCUUGGCGUUUGGUUGAUGAAGCUGAUGGGAAGAAAGCUAUUGGAAUAAAAUGGGUGUACAAGCUCAAGCUGAAUCCGGAUGGGCCUAUUUACAAGCAUAAGGCUAGGCUAGUUGAGAAAGGCUACUCAAACUUUAGUGAUAUUUUUACACCUGUUGCAAGACAAAAAUUUUGAUUAGCAUUGAUUAACGAAAAAAUUGAUGAAUAGAUUAAACAAUUUAAUGAAAAUGAAAUAUAAAAAAUAAAUAAUAUAUUUUUCAAGAUACAUGAAUUAAAUAAUAAAUUUUUGUUAAAAUACAAGAACUAAAUAAUUUACCUGAAUAAGAUCUAAAGGGCCUCCUAUGGUUAACCCUUUUAUAAACCAACUAAAAAUGAACUUCUUUCCCUUAAGGUUAACAAUUUUGAAAAGGAUAGAAUUUUUGCACCCAACCUGUUCAAAGCAGAAUACUUAAAAACUAAUUGAUGUCUACAACAAAAUUAGUGCGAAAAUAAUUUGCAAAAACCAACAAGACACAUACAUAAACAAGUCCACUGCACAGAUAAAGCACACAGCUGAUUAAAAAAAAAACAAAAAAAUCAUGUUCAAGAUGAAGACGGUUCUGCUCCAUCAUGGAGAGCACAACAAACAGUUGCUUUAUGAUGACCUUGAUACACCCUAAUGUCUUCACCGGUAGACAUGGACCAAAGCCUUGCCGUUGUAUCAGACGAAGCUGUUAUUAGGUAAGCACCGUCUACUGAAAAAACACAGUCCCAUACCCACCGUUGAUGACCUAUUAAAGUUUUCUCCAAUGUAAACCCAUCAACAUUCCAUAUCUUGACAGUGUGAUCAGAAGAUGCAGUAGCCAGAUAUCUGUGAGGUUCACAAAACUCAGGUGAAAGGAGACAUUUGAGAAUGUAUCCAUCAUGUGCUUGUAACUUAUGAAGCGGCUCAAAGUUGGUCAUAGUCUGGGUCCCUCGCAAUAGGCGCCAAACAUAACAGGUUCCACGAUUAUUUGCAGCAACUACCAAGCUCCCAUCCCACAUAACCGUUAGAGACCUUACAGCUGUAUCCACCUCUGGUACCAAUUCACAGCUACAUGAAUUUGCUGUCAAAUCCCACACACGAAUGUUCCCAUUUUGGUCCCCAGAUAUCAGUUCAGUCUGAUUUGGGUGAAGCACAACAGUGUUAACAGCUGCCCGACUUUCGUACUCCCUUUGACAACCUGGUGCUCUCAAAUCCCAAAUCCUUACUGUGCCAUCCUCAGAUCCUGAAUACAUCCAAUUUCCAUCACAUUGAAACCCCACUGCCAUGACAUUAUUUGUAUGCGAAUCAUAACUCCUCACUGGUUGAGCGCUGUUGGAGUUGACAUCGAACAACCGAAUGUGAGGAUUACCAGCCGCAGCCAAGAAGCGUUUAUCUGGGUUUAUUUCAAGUCGAUUAACUUGUGAAUCAGGGUACUGGAUUGUACGGUAGCACCGGCCGCUUUUCGCCUCCCAAAACCUAAUGGUGUGAUCAUAGCUAGCUGUUGCAAGUAUCACUGAUGGUUGAGUCAUCUUAUGACUAACCCCCUAAUCAACAAAUAAUUUGAUUAGUAAAACAUCAAUCAACCAAAAUAAAAAUGAAAUUGAAUUAUUACUCAAUUUUUGAAAAAAUAAUAGAAAAGGCAAUCUUUCUUUUUGCAAUGUUAUUAAACCUGGUCUGGAAAUUGACCUGGUAGAGGAAAUGGGUGAAUAGAUCACUGGUUUAGCCGGUGGAUCAAUGGUUCAACAAGUGAGUCACAAAAACAUUAAUUAAAUAUUACUAAUUUGAAAUAACUAUGAAUAACUUGCAAUCUAACUAGAGAUUCAUAAACAUGAUUCAACAUUGAAUUAAGAAUAUCUAAAUAGAAGUACAAGUCAAAUUAAACUAUAACUAAGUUCCAAUAUCAAAACCCAAGUUCAGUUCAAAGAUCACCAUCUAAAGCAUGUAAAAAAUUCAAAUUAGCAAAAAAAAUUGACCUCCUUUAUAUGCUUACUUUAGUUUGAUAUGACUAAAAUAACAAUAGACAACAUAAACCUAUUAGGUUAAUAUACAAUAUGAACCCAUUGCUUUAUUAUUAUGAAAAAGGAUUUAGUGUUUAAUAUUCUCUUCUUUUGGUCAUUUCAAAUUGCGUUAGCUUUAGGACAAGCACCUAAUGCCAAGCUUAAUUAUACGUUUGUGAUUUAAUUAAAAGAAGUGUCUCCAUUACCGACAGAAGAAAUUAAUUCUUUAGAUUUGGUACAAUGAACAGAGCACUAUAUUCUUCAGAUUUAGUAAAAAUAUUAUGAUGUUUCUUUUGAGGAAAGUAGGAUUUGAUAAUGGAAAAAGGACCAGAGAAAUAUAUUAGCAAUAACAGUUGUAACUUUGCACCAGCAGACGACCAAUCGAGCUUCUGCUUUGGCUUCUGUGAAAUCAGGUUCCUGGCUUGGACAAUGGAGCUUCUGGAAGUCGACAAUCCACAGUGAACACUCUAGCCGAUUCAAAGGAAGAAAGUGAGACAAAGAAAAAGUGAAAGUGAAAAAUACUGAAUGAUAUAGGACUAGUUCUUGGCACCGGUUCGAAGGAAGAAAGUGAAACGCAAAAAAGCUUCCACAGUCAAUGAUCGGGAAGGAGAGUCUGGCAGCAGCGAAUUGAAGGGAGCAAGGGGUUAGGGAUUUAUAUUUUGGAGAUUUCCAAGGAAAUCUCCUCCGCUCUCUGGACUCUGAAACUCUGGAAGAAAAG
Molecule: unclassified non-coding RNA, 2927 nt
Filed under: Hevea brasiliensis (rubber tree)
Lineage: Eukaryota; Viridiplantae; Streptophyta; Magnoliopsida; Malpighiales; Euphorbiaceae
Source: RNAcentral